ACACGACUACAUUAGAUACCCCUGUAGUCCUAGGCGUAAAUGAUGCGAGUUAAGUGUGGGGGCAUCUACGAGAUGGCCCUGUGCUGUAGGGUAGCCGUUAAACUCGCUGCCUGGGGAGUACGGUCGCAAGGCUGAAACUUAAAGGAAUUGGCGGGGGAGCACCACAACGGGUGGAGCUUGCGGUUUAAUUGGAUUCAACGCCGGAAAUCUUACCGGGACCGACAGCAAUAUGAAGGCCAGGCUGAAGACUUUGCCGGAUUAGCUG
This 265-nucleotide ribosomal RNA is filed under the name uncultured archaeon. Its description in RNAcentral is "partial 16S ribosomal RNA". It matches the Rfam family "Archaeal small subunit ribosomal RNA", at positions 717 to 982 of the family's 1478-position model. The record is from RNAcentral.